RNAcentral lists this ribosomal RNA (1468 nucleotides) under uncultured bacterium. RNAcentral's name for it is "bacterial SSU rRNA". It matches the Rfam family "Bacterial small subunit ribosomal RNA". The record is from RNAcentral.
AGAGUUUGAUCCUGGCUCAGGAUGAACGCUAGCGGCAGGCCUAACACAUGCAAGUCGAGGGGUAUAGUUCUUCGGAACUAGAGACCGGCGCACNNGUGCGUAACGCGUAUGCAAUCUACCUUUUACAGGGGAAUAGCCCAGAGAAAUUUGGAUUAAUGCCCCAUAGUAUAUAUGAAUCGCAUGGUUUAUAUAUUAAAGUUCCAACGGUAAAAGAUGAGCAUGCGUCCCAUUAGUUAGUUGGUAAGGUAACGGCUUACCAAGACUAUGAUGGGUAGGGGUCCUGAGAGGGAGAUCCCCCACACUGGUACUGAGACACGGACCAGACUCCUACGGGAGGCAGCAGUGAGGAAUAUUGGACAAUGGGCGCAACUUGAAUCCAGCCAUGCCGCGUGCAGGAAGAAGCAUCUAUGGUGUGUAACUGCUUUUGUACAGGAAGAAACACUCCCUCGUGAGGGAGCUUGACGGUACUGUAAGAAUAAGGAUCGGCUAACUCCGUGCCAGCAGCCGCGGUAAUACGGAGGAUCCAAGCGUUAUCCGGAAUCAUUGGGUUUAAAGGGUCCGUAGGCGGUUUGAUAAGUCAGUGGUGAAAGCCAUCGCUCAACGAUGGAACGGCCAUUGAUACUGUCAGACUUGAWUUACUAAGGAAGUACUUAGAUUUUGUAGUGUWRCGGUGAAAUGCUUAGRUAUUCCAUGGCUUCCCAAUUGCGAAGCAGUACUACUAGUGAUUGACGCUGAUGGACGAAAGCGUGGGAGCGAACAGGAUUAGAUACCCUGGUAGUCCACGCCGUAAACGAUGGAUACUAGCUGUUGGUGCAAACUCAGUGGCUAAGCGAAAGUGAUAAGUAUCCCACCUGGGGAGUACGUUCGCAAGAAUGAAACUCAAAGGAAUUGACGGGGGCCCGCACAAGCGGUGGAGCAUGUGGUUUAAUUCGAUGAUACGCGAGGAACCUUACCAAGGCUUAAAUGUAGUUUGACAGAUUUGGAAACAGAUUUUUCUUCGGACAAAUUACAAGGUGCUGCAUGGUUGUCGUCAGCUCGUGCCGUGAGGUGUCAGGUUAAGUCCUAUAACGAGCGCAACCCCUGUUGUUAGUUGCCAGCGAGUCAUGUCGGGAACUCUAACAAGACUGCCAGUGUAAACUGUGAGGAAGGUGGGGAUGACGUCAAAUCAUCACGGCCCUUACGCCUUGGGCUACACACGUGCUACAAUGGACGGUACAGAGAGCAGCCACUACGCAAGUAGGAGCGAAUCUAUAAAACCGUUCUCAGUUCGGAUCGGAGUCUGCAACUCGACUCCGUGAAGCUGGAAUCGCUAGUAAUCGGAUAUCAGCCAUGAUCCGAUGAAUACGUUCCCGGGCCUUGUACACACCGCCCGUNNAGCCAUGGAAGCUGGGGGUACCUGAAGUCGGUGACCGCAAGGAGCUGCCUAGGGUAAAACUGGUAACUAGGGCUAAGUCGUAACAAGGUAGCC